This 68-nucleotide transfer RNA is filed under the name Anolis transversalis (banded tree anole). RNAcentral's name for it is "tRNA-Tyr". The record is from RNAcentral. Lineage: Eukaryota; Metazoa; Chordata; Lepidosauria; Squamata; Anolidae.
GGUAAAAAGAGGAAUCAAACCCCUAUAAAUGGGUCUACAGCCCACUGCCUAACAUUCGGCCAUCUUAC